This 393-nucleotide ribosomal RNA is filed under the name uncultured bacterium. RNAcentral's name for it is "bacterial SSU rRNA". It matches the Rfam family "Bacterial small subunit ribosomal RNA", at positions 505 to 898 of the family's 1533-position model. The record is from RNAcentral.
GUGCCAGCCGCCGCGGUAAUACGUAGGGUGCAAGCGUUAAUCGGAAUUACUGGGCGUAAAGCGAGCGCAGGCGGUUAUGUAAGACAGAUGUGAAAUCCCAGGGCUUAACCUUGGAACUGCAUUUGUGACUGCAUGGCUAGAGUGCGUCAGAGGGGGGUGGAACUCCACGUGUAGCAGUGAAAUGCGUAGAGAUGUGGAAGAACACCGAUGGCGAAGGCAGCCCCCUGGGAUGACACUGACGCUCAUGCUCGAAAGCGUGGGGAGCAAACAGGAUUAGAUACCCUGGUAGUCCACGCCCUAAACGAUGUCUACUAGUUGUCGGUCCUUAAUUGGAUUGGUAACGCAGCUAACGCGUGAAGUAGACCGCCUGGGGAGUACGGUCGCAAGAUUAAA